Non-coding RNA from Lolium perenne, 2963 nucleotides. The record is from RefSeq and is a predicted model, not a curated record. NCBI's taxonomy places the organism in Eukaryota, Viridiplantae, Streptophyta, Magnoliopsida, Poales, Poaceae.
GCCCUCCGCCCCUCCGCCCGCCGCCCGCCGCCCUCCGCCCACCGCCCGCCGCCCGCCGCCUCUCCCUUCUCCUCCCGUCGCGGCGCAGUGCGCCGUGCAGCGCUGGACCGACCUCCCUUCUCCUCACCCAUUUUGCUCGUGCCUCCUCCUCUCCCGCUCGUUCCCCUCCUCUCCCCUCAACAAAUCGCCUCGUCUCCGUUGUUGGGCUGCCGUCGCCACUCCCUUCUCCGGCCGAUCUUUCAUCGUCGCCAUGGCCUGCCGGGAGAAGCGCCUGCCUUGUACGCGAGCAGCUCGUGCGGCACGAGCGGGGCGCCAGCUGGGGCGCGAGCCCCGCGUACGGCACAAGCUCGAGCGCCCCUCCUGCUGAUGGUGAAGGAGGAAGUGCAAGGGGCGGGUCGCCGCCGCUAUGGAGGCACGGCUCCCACUGCCGUGUACAUGGUGGAGAGGUCGCCGUCGACGAGCGGGAUGAGGAGGCGUGCAUCGAUGCGGGGAGGGCGCCGCCAGGACGUGUACGAGCGCUUCCUUCUGCAACGCAAGAGGAGAACGUGCCAGAGAGAGGCAUCCAUGGCGCUUGUUCCGUCGACUUGUUCCCAGCUAUUGUGGUCUGCCCCGCUGUCCUCCUCCUGUUCCUCCUCUCCAUGAGCUCGCUCUGCUAAGCAGCCGCGAGGAUGACGCUGAUGGAACUACUGCAAGAUUCGUGGGAUCUCCUCAAUUUCUCUUUCUCUCUAGGUUUGCUCUGUUUAAUUCAUGCUUGCUUUGAUUUAGUGCGGUGUACUGGAGCAGGUGCAUUCUCCAUUUAAUUCGUCUUUGCCUUGAAUUAGUGCAGUGUAGUGGAAACGAAAUCUGUGGCAGAUGACAUGUUGAGCUGAUAGUUCCACCCCUUUCUUCUACCUGAUGACAGCGACGAGCCGAGUAUUGGAUGGGGAACUUUUCAACCAGUGAACGGUAUUGUUACAUGUGAACUAACACACAUUCAGUUAAUUGAGGUUAGCUUUGUAUAGCUUCUGUUGUUGAUUAUCCAACUAUGUUGCCUGGUGUGUCUCCACCUACCAUUCAUGCUUGCUAUUUGAUAUGAAGGAUUGUAGGUUGUUGUGUUGCAUAGGGCAGCUGCUCGCAAGUUUCCCAAUUGAGAAGAAAAUAAUAUGAUCCGCAACAAAAUACAAGCUUUGUUAUAUGUACAGUGCAGGCUUCAUGAUUUUUCAUUUAUAUUUUAAUAGUUGUACAUAACCCAUAUUUGUUUAUUGUUAAUAUUUUCAAAGGUUGGCUGAUGCCUUUUCCUAUACUUGGUAAAGUUGUCAACCUAAUGAUUUAAAUCUCUCAUGUUUGGUAAUGUUGUCAACCUAAUAUAUGUGAUCCCUUGCGGCUAUUGUCGAUUUAAUUAUGCUCAUGUUCUUGGCUGUAUAGGGGCGGUUUCUUAUUAGAAUUCAGCCAUGUAGGCUCUGAAUUUGGGCUUGGGUUUCGUUUUAAUCUACAAGUGAUAUAAGAGACAAUCAAGUUUCAUUCUGGCUUUUAUGUUUCAAAGAAACUGCGAUACAUAAUUUUAGCGGGUCUGAUUUGCCUCCUAAUGCUUAUUGAUAUUCUCCCCUUGCAUUGGCAUAUUCACAAAAUGACAUGUUUGAUUGUACUUUGGCAUGUAUAUAUUUUUCAUUGGAUAAAUAGAGUGUAAUACAUGGAUCGCUGCAUUCCUCAUUUCAUCUAGAUCUGCAAUCUGGGGAACACGCACAAACAGAAAAGAUAUGUGCCUUCUAUUUUUCAGACAUUUACUAUUUCUUCUUUGAGAUUUGUUUUCUUGGUAGGGCAGUACAAGAGUUGUCUGGUAUGCAUAUAUAGCUGCAUUCGUACUAGACAAGACAAGUUAGUUAUUCUGUAGUUUUCCCCAUUUGAAGGAUUUUUAUUGGAAAAAGUCAUGUCUCAUUUGCCAAAUCUGAAACAUUAGUCCAUGAAUAUGGCCUCCUUGCUUUCACUGCCGUGUCAAAUCUAUUAUCUGCUAUUUCAGCAAAGCAAGGUAAUAAUCAUUAUAUGUACAUGUUCCGCUUCUCAGUUUGUAUAGUGAAGUCUUGGCGUAUUUAUUAUUACUUGUCGUGCUUCUGUAGGUAGAUUGCCCUGUUUAUUUUUCAGAAUUAUCAUGCCAAUUAUUAUAGUUACGAUGGCAGGGUUUUAAUUUGAGGUUCUCUAAAGUUUAAAUGGUAGGAACACUAUUGGACUGGAGUUGCUAGCUAUUAAACUUUUACAUGUCAAAGGUAGGAGAAACAUGUGUUUCUGUUGGCUAUGGUUUAUGUACUUUCCUUUAAGAAGUUAGCCCUAUAACUUUCUCUAUUGCUAACGUGAAUUUAUCUCUGAAAGAAAGCACAUUGCGACUUCAGCACCUUUCUUUCUGGAAUUACUUUGAAUUAUUUUUUAUGAAAAUAGUUUAGAAAGUAGGUUAAAUAAAGUAUGGUACCACUUCAGAAGAUUUCUUUGCUUUAAUUAGUUUUGUGAUGAUCUGCAGGAGCCUAGGGAGUCAAGUUCACUCCAAUGACCAAAUACAAGGGGAAAUGUAACUCAAGGGCAACCUUAUGAAUCAAGCUGUGCGCGGACGAUGUAAAUAUACUUCUACAGAGGCGGGAGGCAGAAGGUAUUCUCUCUCCAUACAUGAUCAUUUAUUUCUUCGUAAGCGCAUUCUUUUGGUGAUUCUAAUUUGUUAAGCGUGUUGGUAUCCACUAUUUUACAUUUUGGGACAGUUGUGCUAACGAAACCACAAUCAGCUAGCUGCUUUGUGACUGGUGUUAAAUAUUGAAACCUUUGCUCUCUUUUAAAUUUUUGGAUGGUUGGGCUAACAAACCCACAUUCAGAUGGCUGCUUUCUGUCCCGUCAAAUACUGAAAUCACUGCAUCAAUAUCAUGACUAGCUACUAUAUUUUAUUUGUUGCAUACUAGAAAAUCAGCUUUUAUAUCGAACAUGCUUCUGAUAUCUUUAAUGCCAUC